CAAUAGCGUAUAUUAAAGUUGUUGCAGUUAAAAAGCUCGUAGUUGGAUUUCUGGUGGGAGCGAUCGGUCUGGCGCUUAGCGCGAGUACUUGCAUCGUCUCCGGCCAUCCUUGGGGAGAGUCUGUCUGGCAUUAAGUUGUCAGGCAGAGGAUCCGCAUCGUUUACUGUGAAAAAAUUAGAGUGUUCAAAGCAGGCUUAUGCCGUUGAAUAUAUUAGCAUGGAAUAAUAAGAUAGGACUUUGGUACUAUUUUGUUGGUUUGCGCACCAAAGUAAUGAUUAAUAGGGACAGUUGGGGGUAUUCGUAUUCCGUUGUCAGAGGUGAAAUUCUUGGAUUUACGGAAGACGAACUACUGCGAAAGCAUUUACCAAGGAUGUUUUCAUUAA
This 383-nucleotide ribosomal RNA is filed under the name uncultured eukaryote. RNAcentral's name for it is "partial 18S ribosomal RNA". It matches the Rfam family "Eukaryotic small subunit ribosomal RNA", at positions 592 to 976 of the family's 1831-position model. The record is from RNAcentral.